GCCGGGCGCAGUGGCACGUGCCUAUGAUCCCAGCGGCUCAGGAGGCUGAGGCAGGAGGAUCGCAAGUUGGAGGCCAGCCUCGGCAACUUAGGGAGGCCCUAAGCAUCUCAGUGAGACCCUGUCUCUA
This 127-nucleotide small RNA is filed under the name Marmota monax (woodchuck). The record is from RNAcentral. Lineage: Eukaryota; Metazoa; Chordata; Mammalia; Rodentia; Sciuridae.